AAUGGAUUGAGAGCUUGCUCUCAAGAAGUUAGCGGCGGACGGGUGAGUAACACGUGGGUAACCUGCCCAUAAGACUGGGAUAACUCCGGGAAACCGGGGCUAAUACCGGAUAACAUUUUGAACUGCAUGGUUCGAAAUUGAAAGGCGGCUUCGGCUGUCACUUAUGGAUGGACCCGCGUCGCAUUAGCUAGUUGGUGAGGUAACGGCUCACCAAGGCAACGAUGCGUAGCCGACCUGAGAGGGUGAUCGGCCACACUGGGACUGAGACACGGCCCAGACUCCUCGCGGAGGCAGCAGUAGGGAAUCUUCCGCAAUGGACGAAAGUCUGACGGAGCCCCGCCGCCCCCGUGAUGAAGGCUUUCGGGU
RNAcentral lists this ribosomal RNA (366 nucleotides) under Bacillus toyonensis. RNAcentral describes it as "bacterial SSU rRNA". It matches the Rfam family "Bacterial small subunit ribosomal RNA", at positions 69 to 423 of the family's 1533-position model. Lineage: Bacteria; Bacillati; Bacillota; Bacilli; Caryophanales; Bacillaceae. The record is from RNAcentral.